Homo sapiens (human) is the source of this 1079-nucleotide long non-coding RNA. Ensembl annotates it as PDXDC2P-NPIPB14P readthrough, transcribed pseudogene. Its record names the gene PDXDC2P-NPIPB14P. The record is from Ensembl. Lineage: Eukaryota; Metazoa; Chordata; Mammalia; Primates; Hominidae.
UAUCAAAUAAGCCCACAGACAAACUCCGUGCCCUGCCUCUGUGGUUAUCUUUACAAUACUUGGGACUUGAUGGGUUUGUGGAGAGGAUCAAGCAUGCCUGUCAACUGAGUCAAUGGUUGCAGGAAAGUUUGAAGAAAGUGAAUUACAUCAAAAUCUUGGUGGAAGAUGAGCUCAGCUCCCCAGUGGUGGUGUUCAGAUUUUUCCAAGAAUUACCAGGCUCAGAUCCAGUGUUUAAAGCCGUCCCAGUGCCCAACAUGACACCUUCAGCAGUCGGCCGGGAGAGGCACUCGUGUGAUGCGCUGAAUCUCUGGCUGGGAGAACAGCUGAAGCAGCUGGUGCCUGCGAGCGGCCUCACAGUCAUGGAUCUGGAAGCUGAGGGCACGUGUUUGCGGUUCAGCCCUUUGAUGACCGCAGCAGGUAUGAUCUCGUGAAACCUUGAGAGAAACUGAAUGAGGAAUGAAACUAUUGUUCCUGUUUCACACAGAAGAAAACUGAGGUUGGCACUCAUGAUGAGCCCCUGUUCUCAUUCUGCAAAUGGUGAAGCUCUCUAUCGUCCUGACCCCACAGUUCCUGUCCCAUGACCAGGGCCCGCUCACCAAGGAGCUGCAGCAGCACGUAAAGUCAGUGACAUGCCCAUGCGAGUACCUGAGGAAGACGAUCCUACACCUGCCACCUCCGAUGGAUCCACUGCCUCUGUGCCUGCCUGUACUGCCGAUGCUCCAGUGGAUAACUCAGCAUCCCAGCCAAGGCCCAAUGCCACUGAAGAUGGACCUGCCCCCUGGGGACCCAGGAGUCCUACCACUCAGCUGUCCCCAGGAGUGCCCAGACCCUCAUUCUUAUCCAGGACCUAGGAGCCUUACCCCUGGCCUUCCCUCAUCAGCCGUAAAUGAUGAUUUACUGCUGUUACCAUCAUCACUGCCUUCAGUGACCAAGGGCCUUCCAAGGUGCCAGCUCUGGAACGAAGGAUGCCCUUGGGAGGUGAUGACACUCAGGUGACCUUGAGGAACCCUGGGAGCUCAGGAAGGAAGGAGCGCCCAGAAGCAGGGACAGGGAGCUGGUUGGGGAGGACCAGAAAUCAG